UUUAGAGGAAGUAAAAGUCGUAACAAGGUUUCCGUAGGUGAACCUGCGGAAGGAUCAUUAAUGAAUUAAAGUCGGUCUUCUGUGCUGGUGGUGACACAUGUGCACGUUGAUCGCAAAUCCACACACCUGUGCACCUUUGACUUUAGGAUCCGCUUGUUGGCUUGUCUGACUUGCAGCUGAUGUUGGUUUUGUGCUCAUCUGGAUCUUAGAGUAAUUUUACACACCCUGAAUGUAAUGGAGUGUUCCUGUGCAUAAUGCGCAAAAUACAACUUUCAACAACGGAUCUCUUGGCUCUCGCAUCGAUGAAGAACGCAGCGAAAUGUGAUAAGUAAUGUGAAUUGCAGAAUUCAGUGAAUCAUCGAAUCUUUGAACGCACCUUGCACCCUUUGGUAUUCCAAAGGGUACACCCGUUUGAGUGUCAUUGUAAUCUCACUUCAUCAGCUUUUGUUGAUGGAGGUGGACUUGGACUCUGUUGUGUCAUUACAACUGGUCUGAAAUGUGUGAGUGCACCCUGCUGUUGCAGCGUCCUCAGUGUGAUAAGCAUCUUCACUGAAUCAAGUUCCUUUGGGACACGUGUGUAAUGUGGGCUCUGUGCUGGCAAACUGUCUUUGGACAAUCUUGACAAUUUGACCUCAGAUCGAGUGGGACUACCCGCUGAACUUAAGCAUAUCAAUAAGCGGAGGAAAAGAAACUAACAAGGAUUCCCCUAGUAACGGCGAGUGAAGAGGGAAAAGCUCAAAUUUUGAAUCUGGUGCCUUUGGCAUCCGAGUUGUAAUCUAGAGAAGUGUUUUCUGCCUUGGACCACACAUAAAUUCCCUGGAAUGGGGUGUCAUAGAGGGUGAGAAUCCCGUUUGUGGUGUGGACUACCUUGGCUCUGUGAUACACUCUCAACGAGUCGAGUUGUUUGGGAAUGCAGCUCAAAAUGGGUGGUAAAUUCCAUCUAAAGCUAAAUAUUGGCGAGAGACCGAUAGCGAACAAGUACCGUGAGGGAAAGAUGAAAAGCACUUUGGAAAGAGAGUGAAACAGUACGUGAAAUUGUUGAAAGGGAAGCGUUUGAAGUCAGUCACAUUGGUCAGAAUUCAGCCUGGCUUAUGCCUGGUGUACUUUCUGGCAAAUGGGUCAGCGUCAAUUUUGACCGAGGGAGAAAGACUUGAGGAAGGUGGCUGUCUUUGGGCAGUGUUAUAGCCUCUUGUUGUAAUGCUCGGUUGGGAUUGAGGAUCGCAGCACGCCUUAUGGCCGGGGUUCGCGCCCUCGGUACGUGCUUAGGACGCUGGCAUAAUGGCUUUAAGCGACCCGUCUUG
RNAcentral lists this ribosomal RNA (1301 nucleotides) under uncultured Sebacina. RNAcentral describes it as "eukaryotic LSU rRNA". The stretch from base 628 to 1301 matches the Rfam family "Eukaryotic large subunit ribosomal RNA", at positions 1 to 656 of the family's 3401-position model. Lineage: Eukaryota; Fungi; Basidiomycota; Agaricomycetes; Sebacinales; Sebacinaceae. The record is from RNAcentral.